UACGGAGGGUGCAAGCGUUAUCCGGAUUUACUGGGUUUAAAGGGUGCGUAGGCGGACCAACAAGUCAGUGGUGAAAGCUUCCCGCUUAACGGGAAAAUUGCCAUUGAUACUGCUGGUCUUGAGUUCAGUUGAGGUGGGCGGAAUGUAGCAUGUAGCGGUGAAAUGCAUAGAUAUGCUACAGAACACCGAUUGCGUAGGCAGCUCACUAAACUGUUACUGACGCUGAGGCACGAAAGCGUGGGGAGCGAACAGG
RNAcentral lists this unclassified non-coding RNA (253 nucleotides) under uncultured Chitinophagales bacterium. Its description in RNAcentral is "contains 16S-23S intergenic spacer region". It matches the Rfam family "Bacterial small subunit ribosomal RNA", at positions 524 to 776 of the family's 1533-position model. Lineage: Bacteria; Pseudomonadati; Bacteroidota; Chitinophagia; Chitinophagales. The record is from RNAcentral.